This is a long non-coding RNA of Cicer arietinum (chickpea), 770 nucleotides long. RefSeq lists it as uncharacterized. The record is from RefSeq and is a predicted model, not a curated record. Lineage: Eukaryota; Viridiplantae; Streptophyta; Magnoliopsida; Fabales; Fabaceae.
UUCUCACCACCACACAUAUCAGUUCUUCUUUCUUUCUCAACCCACCUAAAACCCUAAAACAUUUCUUUCUCAACCCAUCUGAAACCCUAAAACCAUUCAUCUCUUGCUAAUUCCUUCUCACCGUCAUUUCAUCACAAUUCACAAUCGCGAAACCAACUAGUUUGGAUUUCAUCUAUUGCUAACCAUCCUCUCAUUGUCAUUUCAUCACGAAACCAUUCUCUAAUGCUAACCCAACGGGUUCAGAUUUCUUCUGCAACCGUGAAACCAACAAGUUCUCUUAAACCACCCUUAAACCGCAACAGCAAAGUGAAGUCCUCAUUCUUUGUCGUCUCGUCGGUUACCGUGAACCAGAAGAACUUGAGAUAUUGGAUUUUCCAUGUAAUCAAUAUUUGAAGCAAGAGUCUGGGAAUAGCAAGGAGACUGAGCAAUUAUUCUGUACAAGAUAUAAAACUAAAUAUUCGAUUUUUGGAAAGUUAAUGUGUAGAUAGUUUGUGUAAAACGUCUCAAUGGGUUGCUGAUAGUUUUUUGGCCUUACUUUGUAAAUAAGCUUAUUGUGCUGAGUAUAUAUUUUGUUAACCUUUGGGCUAGUCGAAAGUAGUUUCUAUGAUUUUACGUUUCCCUUCUCUAGUGUCUAUUUAGCCUUGAAUCAUGAGAAGUAUUUGAAUAGAUCUUUCAUAUGUGUAGUUUUAAUUUUGUAAAUAAUUUCUUAAGUCAUAUGAGAAUCGGGUGACUCAAUUUACUGAUAUAAGAGUUUAAAUUCAUCUUUUUAA